Etheostoma spectabile (orangethroat darter) is the source of this 146-nucleotide long non-coding RNA. RefSeq lists it as uncharacterized. The record is from RefSeq and is a predicted model, not a curated record. NCBI's taxonomy places the organism in Eukaryota, Metazoa, Chordata, Actinopteri, Perciformes, Percidae. The transcript has 3 exons.
CACACUAGAAUGGCUUUAAAAACAAGAUAAAAACGGCAUUUUUCCAUAAAAAAGUGUCACAGAGUCCAGGGAAGAACUUCAGACAUCACCACAAAGUAUGAAACGCGUGUGGCAGGGCACCUUUAACAUAAAGAAAUGUUGCACUA